RNAcentral lists this ribosomal RNA (700 nucleotides) under uncultured bacterium. Its description in RNAcentral is "bacterial SSU rRNA". It matches the Rfam family "Bacterial small subunit ribosomal RNA", at positions 14 to 717 of the family's 1533-position model. The record is from RNAcentral.
UGAUCCUGGCUCAGGAUAAACGCUGGCGGCGCACAUAAGACAUGCAAGUCGAACGAACUUAAUUCAUUCUUUUAGAUUGGAAGCAGUUAGUGGCGGACUGGUGAGUAACGCGUGAGCAACCUGCCUAUUAAAGGUGAUUAACUUGGAUAAAUCAUUGCUAAUAGCUCAUAUGCUUGCACUAUUGCCAUGAUAGAUUAAUGUAAAGUGUAGCAUUCCGCUAAUAUAUGGGCUCGCGGCUGAGUAGCUUGUUGGUGGGGUAGAAGCCUACCAAUGCGACCAUCAGUAGCCGGACUGAGAGGUUGAACGGCCACAUUGGGACUGAGAUACGGCCCAGACUCCUACGGGAGGCAGCAGUCGGGAAUAUUGCGCAAUGGAGGGAACUCUGACGCAGUGACGCCGCGUAUAGGAAGAAGGUUUUCGGAUUGUAAACUAUUGUCGUUAGGGAAGAAAAAAGACAGUACCUAAGGAGGAAGCCCCGGCUAACUAUGUGCCAGCAGCCGCGGUAAUACAUAGGGGGCAAGCGUUAUCCGGAAUUAUUGGGUGUAAAGGGUGCGUAGACGGGUGUUUAAGUUGGUUGUGAAAUCCCUCGGCUCAACUGAGGAACUGGCACCAAAACUGGAUAUCUUGAGUGUCGGAGAGGAAAGUGGAAUUCCUAGUGUAGCGGUGAAAUGCGUANAUAUUAGGAGGAGCCCCAGUGGCG